This 389-nucleotide ribosomal RNA is filed under the name Pristimantis zeuctotylus (Sipaliwini robber frog). RNAcentral's name for it is "partial 16S ribosomal RNA". It matches the Rfam family "Bacterial large subunit ribosomal RNA", at positions 1834 to 2457 of the family's 2925-position model. Lineage: Eukaryota; Metazoa; Chordata; Amphibia; Anura; Strabomantidae. The record is from RNAcentral.
CUUGAUAACAUAAGAGGUCCAGCCUGCCCAGUGACUCAAUUUAACGGCCGCGGUAUCCUAACCGUGCAAAGGUAGCGUAAUCACUUGUCUUCUAAAUAAAGACUAGUAUGAAAGGCACCACGAGAACUAAACUGUCUCCUUUUUCUAAUCAGUGAACCUAAUCUCCCUGUGAAAAAGCAGGGAUUUAAUAAUAAGACGAGAAGACCCUAUGGAGCUUUAAACACAUAACACUGCCCUUUUACACCACAACGUUCCCAUGCACAAUGAUUAAGAGUUUUUAGUUGGGGUGACUACGGAGUAAACCCACCCUCCGCGAUGAAUCUUAAACAAGCGACAGCUUUACACAUCAGCAAACUGACACCAUUGACCCAAUUUAUUGAUCAACGAAC